AGUGAACGCUGGCGGUAGGCCUAACACAUGCAAGUCGAACGGCAGCACAGAGGAGCUUGCUCCUUGGGUGGCGAGUGGCGGACGGGUGAGGAAUACAUCGGAAUCUACUCUGUCGUGGGGGAUAACGUAGGGAAACUUACGCUAAUACCGCAUACGACCUACGGGUGAAAGCAGGGGACCUUCGGGCCUUGCGCGAUUGAAUGAGCCGAUGUCGGAUUAGCUAGUUGGCGGGGUAAAGGCCCACAAAGGCGACGAUCCGUAGCUGGUCUGAGAGGAUGAUCAGCCACACUUGAACUGAGACACGGUCCAGACUCCUACGGGAGGCAGCAGUGGGGAAUAUUGGACAAUGGGCGCAAGCCUGAUCCAGCCAUACCGCGUGGGUGAAGAAGGCCUUCGGGUUGUAAAGCCCUUUUGUUGGGAAAGAAAUCCAGCUGGCUAAUACCCGGGUGGGAUGACGGUACCCAAAGAAUAAGCACCGGCUAACUUCGUGCCAGCCGCCGCCGUAA
This 506-nucleotide ribosomal RNA is filed under the name uncultured bacterium. RNAcentral's name for it is "partial 16S ribosomal RNA". It matches the Rfam family "Bacterial small subunit ribosomal RNA", at positions 29 to 523 of the family's 1533-position model. The record is from RNAcentral.